CCUACGGGAGGCAGCAGUGGGGAAUAUUGCACAAUGGGCGCAAGCCUGAUGCAGCCAUGCCGCGUGUAUGAAGAAGGCCUUCGGGUUGUAAAGUACUUUCAGCGGGGAGGAAGGUGUUGAGGUUAAUAACCUCAGCAAUUGACGUUACCCGCAGAAAAAGCACCGGCUAACUCCGUGCCAGCAGCCGCGGUAAUA
This 195-nucleotide ribosomal RNA is filed under the name uncultured bacterium. RNAcentral describes it as "partial 16S ribosomal RNA". It matches the Rfam family "Bacterial small subunit ribosomal RNA", at positions 338 to 525 of the family's 1533-position model. The record is from RNAcentral.